UGAGGAAUAUUGGGCAAUGCCCGCAAGGGUGACCCAGCAACGCCGCGUGGAGGAUGAAUGUCGUAAGAUUGUAAACUCCUGUUAGAGGGGAAGAAUAGUACCGGUUGGACCGGUAUAUGACUGUACCCUCAGAGAAAGCCCCGGCUAACUACGUGCCAGCAGCCGCGGUAAUACGUAGGGGGCAAGCGUUGCCCGGAUUUACUGGGUGUAAAGGGCGCGCAGGCGGGAUAAAAAGUCAGUGGUGAAAUCCUACAGCUUAACUGUAGAACUGCCUUUGAUACUUUUAUUCUUGAGUUCGGGAGAGAGAGACGGAAUUCCAGGUGUAGUGGUGAAAGACGUAGAUAUCUGGAAGAACACCAGUUGCGAAGGCGGUCUCUUGGUCCGACACUGACGCUGAGGCGCGAAAGCGUGGGGAGCAAACA
Molecule: ribosomal RNA, 422 nt
Filed under: uncultured bacterium
Lineage: Bacteria
Description: bacterial SSU rRNA
Rfam family: Bacterial small subunit ribosomal RNA
Source: RNAcentral